RNAcentral lists this long non-coding RNA (5246 nucleotides) under Carassius auratus (goldfish). RNAcentral describes it as "lncRNA (ENSCARG00000065657.1)". Lineage: Eukaryota; Metazoa; Chordata; Actinopteri; Cypriniformes; Cyprinidae. The record is from RNAcentral.
AUAUUGGGUGACGUCCAGCCCAGUGUUUCUGUACCUUCUGAUGUUUGUCCAAAAGGGCUGAAUUGUGGGACAUCCAGCGACAGAUUGACUCUCUGUGAGCCCAGAAGUUCAGAGGCUCCACAGGGACGUGCUCCUCCUGAGCUUUAACACCGCAGUGCGCUACAUGAUCAGGGAGGCAUUCCGACGCUGGAAACCUCUCGGCCUAUCAGACUGUGAGUGAAAACAUGAGCCACGCCCUCCCUCUCUUGAGUGACAGCAUGAUAGGAGGAGCCAGUUUCCUUUCUGUUCCUGAGCUGCUAGAACCGGCCAGUUUUCAGGAACCCAGAGGAGAUCAAAGAGCACGGUGGGAGCAUGGCGCUGGGCCUGAUUCUCUCUGCAGGCUGUCAUUAGAAAGCCAAUAAACUUCACCACAGCUAGUCUCUUAUAUUUAGGAUAUUGAUUUUCAUCUCAACAAGAACAACAACAAAAUAGUCCUCUCUGAAAUGCAUGGGAUUCACAUGACUUCACAUGUCAUUAAGAACUGUGGAAACGUCGAUUGAGGAGCAUUUCAUCCAGCGGUGUUGAGCGUGAGAUUGAUGGACAGGUAAAUAUUUCAUGCUACUCUUCUAAAAAUAAAGGUCCCAAAAGAGACAGUACCACCUUUCAAUGGACAGUUCUUCAUAAAGAACAUUUUCCACUUUAAAGGUUCCAUGGAUGUUAAAGGUUCUUAAUAAAAAUUUCAGUGCCAAUAAAGAACAUUUAUUUUAAAGAGUAUGGGGUUAUGAUAUAGGUUUAUAAUUAAUAAUGGACUGUUAUAUAAACACUGAGUGUUUUCUAGGUGAUGUUCUCCAGCGCUCAUCUCCAGGAGUGUUUGACUGAACUGGCUUUUCUGCAAUGAAUCAUGAGCGGAGUGUCUUCAAGCGAUAUUCCCAGUUUUAUGAGUCAAUCCUUCAACAGCAGGAACAACUUCUUUACCAGAGAGAGCAGACACAUUUGCGCCGUAAACUCGAGCACAGCCGAGAAGGUUUUCGCCGUGUGGCCAUGCCAUCCAGCUUGUACACUGACUGGCUUACCUGUUUUUCAGCGUUGAACAUUAAUGAGUGCACGUCUUCUACAUUGAGGGUUAUGUCACAGAGCAGUUCCCUUCUUCUGAGCUUGUCAAACUCAUGGAAGAUUGUGUCCUUGUGUGUUUUUGAAUGCAGGACGAGAACAGAAGACAGGGCAGACAUUAUGCUGUUACAGUGAGCUUGAGAGGAAAAAGUUGAAACUGUCUUUUAGUUGAUAAAUCUGUUUACUAUAUGCAAAUCAAACUAUACACACUCUUGUGAAAGUUUGCUUAAUUGUAUUGAACAUGGACUUGAAGUGUACUUCAGAUUGUAUAAGUAUAUUUUUUUAAAAUCUUUCCUUGCAGACAAUUUAAUACAUAUGAAACAAUAGUCAACCUAAAGGUACAAUUUGUAAGAUAUUUGCAGUAAAAUAUCCAAAAACCACUAGGCUGGUGUUAUAUAUUUUGUCCCGCUGAUUACUAACAAUAUCUCUAAUGUUUUCUAAUGUCUAAAGUCUCUAACUACUUGUAAAUCAUGAGAAAAUUCCCAUUUUAAACAGUUUCACAGGGCAGUGCAGUCGCCUGUCAAUGACGUUAGUUACCCUUACCGCCUUUACUGAUGUAGAAACCACAUGACCACCAUAGACAGUAAAAGAUGACAACAGUGUUGUAAACAUAUGCGGAAGUAGCUUCGCGACAAACUUCAACUAGAAAGAGAUGCCGAUCUCGCUUGUGUUUUACUCGACUGGUGAGGUGUUUUGAUUCACUUCUACAGAAAACGUAUGCUAUUAUAACGAUCAACAAAAUUAGUGUUAUGGGCCAUACACGCCAAACGCGGGGCAUCGCAUCUCUAGACCUGCGUGAGGACGCGUCUGAUCAAGUCUGUGCAUUGACUUUGUAUAUAAUCCACUCGCGCAAAUCGUUGAACUCGCGUUAAAUCCAUGAUUUAUCUUUCAGUCUGAUUGAUCAUUCCACGCUCUUUCUUAGCAUCAUCAAACCACGUGAUUGUUAUUGUUUUGGUUGUGCGCCCUCUAGUGGCAAGGCCUACAACCUGUACCUUUAAAGGGAUAGUUUUUAUUUUUUCAUCAUUGAGCACAAGAGAAUAUAUUUUGAAGAAUUGUAGUAACCAAAAAUGUUUACAUUCCCCAAUGACUGUUUGGUUACCAACAAUCUUCAUAAUACAUUUUUGUGUUCAAAUUCUAUUUUAACAGCAUAUUACAUAUUAUAUAUUAAAGUUUGUUUUAAAUCAUGUUUUAAUAAUAUUGAAUCAUGCUAGAAAGAAGAAAGACUUGAUACUGAAUAACAUACAAAAGCAAAUAAGUUAAUAUUUAUUCAUUUACAUUUAUUCAUUUAGCUGAUGCUUUUAUCCAAAAGCGUACAAAUGCUAUAUAUGUCAGAGGUCGCACGCCUCUGGAGCAACUAGGGGUUAAGUGUCUUGCUCAGGGACACAUUAGUGUCUCACAGUGGAUUCGAACUAUAUUUAUAUUUUUAAUUUAAAUUUAUAUAUUUUACAUUUUAUAAAUUGUAACUUCAUCAUUAAAAAUGCAGAAUUAAAGAUAUAUAUAAUACAUGACACAUUUUCAAAAGAAAUUACAUUGAAGUGUAUUUUAGUUGAAUGCUUGUCAGCCCAUUCAGCAGUACAUUUUAAGCAUAUUUUAAAAACAACAAUUAAAUAACAUAUUAAGAUGCAAUUAAGUUAGCAAAAAGCUCUCUAAAAUUUAGCUUAUUGCAUUUCUUUUACAUGUUAAUGCAUUUUUUAUACAUUUCAAACAAAAUGCAAUCCUGUCCUUGACCCAUCAGAACAGAUCAACACAUUUAUUAGUUAUUACCAUCCAUGCACCAUGCAUGCAUUAUGUAACGUUAGCCUAAAUACGAUAUGGUACAUGGAUAUGGUAAUCAUUCAGAACCAAUGUUAUUUCUAUAUUUGGACCCAAACCACUAUAUAAUCCAAUAUUUAUUUGAUAAUUUAGUUCUUGUGAAUCAUUUUAUAGAAAUUUCAGCAAGCGCAAGCAUUAAUGAUUCAUAAGACACAACUCCACGCGCAACCUGAGCUGUAAACACAGUUUGGUUUAGAGCAGAGGAUGUUCUGUACUGCAUCACACAUUCUGUGCACAGUAGGUCACGCGCGCAGUGUGAAUCUUCAUGUAUAUCUGUGUCAGAGGUCUUCGAACACAGUAAAAAAUGAAUACAAUGCUUUAAGCCCAGCGCCAUGUGUAGCAACAUAGUUGCUUCUCUUUCUCUUCUAAAAAAGACUCUCGCUGAUUUGAAAGUUACAUCAUUUUAUCAGCAAAACGCACUUCAAAGAAUAAUUGCACUGCCCCGGCCCGGAGGACUAUAAUAUACGAUUAAGCUUUCAGGACCCUACCUUAAAGUAACCGUCUCAGACAGGCAAAUCUCGCGAGAAUUGCAUCGUGUGAUAGAAAGGCAAGAUGUGAAUACCAAAACUGAUUAUUUUAUGUUUUUAAUCCACCACUUUCAAAGUUUAUUAUUAUUAUUAUUUUAAAUAACUUUACAUAGAAUUUAAAGGCAGGUGCCCAUUUUUCAGGUAUCACUGCUGAAGUACGUUCUGGGAUAUUUUUUUUAUUUAAUUGUUGGUCUCAAUGCGCCCCCUGGCGGCACAACCGUGGGAACAACAACUUUUGUCACCCAGUGUAUUUGCAAACAGCGCCACUGUUGUGUUUCUUUUACUGUCUAUGGUUGUGCUGCUAACCAUGGUAACUACUGUACUCAUAUUAAAAUGUUUUAUAUUAGUAUCUGCGCUUCAACAGUGCUUUAAAAAUUCAAAAACGACAAGUGAAACUCCAAUCCCCAUGAUGCUUUUGGAUGAUGAUUUUUAAAUAGGACAGUCUAUCCUGCAGCGGAUCUUAGUAAGCUGAUAGUAAAUAAAUGUGUUACCUAAAUGUGCCCCUGCUUUAACAUUCUGUAAAAUGUAUUUGAAAUAUUACAGUAGUAUCUGCCAAUGCACAGUGCUUGUUCUUUUUACCUUGAAUAAACUUGUCUUUGAUUUAUUACAGUAACACUAUCUGUACAUGUUAUAAAUAUUUUUAAUCUGCAUUGAGGGAAUGGACAAUGGACUUUAUUCUUAUUACUGGUAUGGCAAGUGUAGGCAUGAUUUAAUGUAUAUCCAGUUAUUUUCACUUUAAUGGAAAUGAAAAGAAACCAGGAGCCUGAUUUAAAAAAAUAACAAAGCUAAUUUUAGAAGAAAAUUUCAGAUGGCACUUGGAGGCUUUUUCACCGGAAUUAUUCAUAUAUAUAUAUACAUUUUGAUAUAUUUACAACAGGAAAUUAAAAAAAUAUCUUCAUGGAACAUGAUCUUUACUUAAUAUCCUAAUGAUUUUUGGCAUAAAAGAAAAAUCUAUCAUUUUGACCCAUACAAUGUUUUUGCUUUAUGAAACAGACAGUUCCAGUCCUUGAUUCUGAUUGGUUGAGCGGUGUUAUGAAUUCACUGUCAACCAAAUAAACUACAAAUAUACCCGUGCUACAUUACAUACUGUAAUGAGUCACAUAUUAUUAUUUAAACCUAUUAUCUUACAUUUCCAGCCUUUGCAAAUUAUGCAUGCUAAUUCUUAGAACUGUAUGUAGUCAAAUGACUAAACCAUAUGGAAAUAAACGAAUUAGGGCUUUUGACUUUACUAGUUUUUAAAACACAUUUGUCUCUUAAAAUCCAUUUAUAACCAUCACAGUUCAUUCACACCCACUUGCAUUAGUCCAUAAAAUAACAGAACCCUUCAACCUCUCAUAACAGAAAGUUACAGAUUAAAAUAGGUAUGAUAAAGGUUACAAGAAAAAAAUUCUAUAUUACAGAAGGAAAUAAAUAUGCUUUGAAAUCAGAACGUUAACAAAAAAUAUAAGACAAUGCAGCGUACAGAAAACAUGCUUUUUUUUAGCUUGGGGAGAUUUUGUAAUAUAUAUCAAAUAUUAAUAAUAUACAAAAGUAAAAAUAAAAUUACGGUCUAUCCAAUAUAUCCAAAGCAUAUUACACAACAAAUGUAUGUGUUGCAUUUAGACCAUUACAGUUCAAAAACAAAUCACUCAUCAGUGACUUCAUUCUAAACACAGCCACACAUGAAAGUCAAUCUAUUUCAGUUUCUACAGUGCUGUCUAAACCCUAAAAGGACAGAAAAAGUCAGGUAAGGACAAAUGCAAGCUGGAAAAACAUUCAGCCGAUUCAUCAGGAAUCAGUUCAGUGUGCUUUCGAUCAUCUGUCGCUCUGUAAAGCUGC